GAGAGUUAUACCUACGAGUUCAUAAUCGAACUUUGUAGAGAGUGUUUAACUAGCUUCGCAAGGCUAGCUUUUUAUUGGAAUCAAUGAAUAAGUCUAACGAGACUUGUCUUUACUCAUAUCCAUGUCGAGAUAUCCUUGAGACCACUUUGCUAAGUCAAGUGUCAUGUCUCCACUUCGAUGCUAGCCAAUGGAGGGAGACGAUAUGAUUUGAGAGGGACCACAACUCGAUUUGGUAUUCGGCGGCACAAGGCAAUCCAAUGGUAUGAAAUGAGGUAGACGACAGUGAUAACGCUGUUAUUGAACAAUAUGUGAGAAGAAGUCAAAUAUAUCAAGGUUGACAAGAUAUUUAAUGAUGUGUGAGACAAGAGCAAGUAGGUCAUGGAAGACUGAUAUUUGACUAGAAAGUCUUAACUGGAGGUUAGACAAGGUAAAUACCUAACUCGAGAGUUAGGUAAGGACAAAGUCCUAACUAGAAGUUAGGCAAGGUAAAGUCCUAAUUCUAGGGUUAGGCAAAGAAAAGUCCUAACUGUGACAAAGGAAAGACAAAGUGAGUCAAGGAGGACCGUACGUUGGCAAUAGGAAGGUCCUAACUAUAGUUAGGCAAGAGGAAAUCCAAGUACAUCAAGAAGAACCACUCUUGGUGAUUGGAAGUCUAACAAGAAGUUGACACAAGAUGAAAAUUCCAAUUGGAUCAAAGGUUGACCGAACACUUGGUGAGAAAAUCCCAACAGAUCAUGGUUGACCGGAUGUUGGGCAAGGGAACCCUAAACAUGCAAGUUAGGGUUGAGCAAUUGAUUAGGGCAAUCAAUUGACCCUAAGCUAAUCGAUUGGAGCAAUCGAUUAAGCUCUUCUCAAUUGAUCAGCGGAUCAAUUGGGAGCGGUUUGUCGUGAGAGAGGAGAAGGCUUAAAUCAAUUGGGGCAAUCAAUUAAAUCUUCACCAAUCGAUUGGUCAAUCAGUUGGGGACCUAAAUCGCGAGCACAAAGAAGUGCUGAAUCGAUUGGCCAAUCGAUUCAACUCUUUCCAAUCUAUUGGGUCAAUCGAUUGGGGAGUUGUUUUAUUGCAAGAAGUUUAAUCAAUAAGGUAAUCGAUCGAGAGGAAUUCGCAAGCAAACAAUGGGCUUUUGAAUCUAUUGGGUAAUCAAUUGGAGCUGUGUAAUUGAUUGGGAGCAUUUCUUUGUGAUGAACAAUAGGUUUCUGAAUCGAUUGAGUGAUCAAUUGAAGCCACAUAAUCGAUUAGGUAAUCGAUUGGGAUAAGAAGAAAAGAAUCAUUGCAAGGUUUGGAUGGCUGAAUUUGCUCAGAUCUAUCGUCGCAAUCGAUUGAGGGUAAGGUCAAUCUGUUAAAUAAAAAAAAUAAAAAACUAAAAAAUAAAAAAAAAUAAAAAUAAUAAAAGACACCAUACCUACCCAUGUGCACUUCCCCAUACCUCCUCCUUUUCUCCCUUUCUUUUCUCCUCUUUCCCCCACGGUUACUCCUCUUCUUCUCCUCUCCUUUAACGACAGAACAAGAGAAAUCGCAGCAGCCCACUCUUCUUCUCUAGCACAAGUCCUUCUCCUUUCUCUUCACUAACAAGCAAGAGGAAGACGAGUAACGACCCCUCCCUUCCCUCUCUUUCUCUUCUCCCUUGUUUUUCUGCUUCUAGGCAGUAGCCAUUGGAGCCCAUUGAAGCUCGCCGAAGCCUCUAGCAGAGAAGGGAAAUGCAACCUAGUUGCUACUCCCUCCCAACAACAAGUGCAAGCAACCCUGUCCCCUAUCCUUGCUCUCUUAGUGUUGUGAUUGAGCUCACCAGAGCUAAUUGAGGUUGUCUAACAGAGGAGUAGUAGUUUUUUUUCGAGAAACCUAUUUUCCUCUUGUCCAACUACCACAACAAAGCUAACAACUACUAAUAGCAGCCCUUUCGGUGCCACUAACAGCGACCUCCAUUCCUUGAAGAUUUGAGUUCGGGUGGAGCACGGUGACUUGUCGACACUCGAAGUUUUUGCUGUACAUAAAGUGGGUACAUUUCCAUUGACUCAUAUAUUUAUCCUUGUGCAUGAAUAAAGACAUAAUGAAAUUAUAUAUAUUUAUAUAAAUAUUUUCAAAAGGGGAUUAAAAUAAUAUUACAAAUAGUGAAAUGGGUUAAAAUAUUAAAAUUGUUAGAGGGUAAAUAAUUGAUGUUACUUUCUAUUCAUAUAUGGGUUCAUACUGUGAUUAAUAUGGGAAGAGUUGUUUUAAAAAAUUAAAUAAAAAUCCUAAUUACUCUUCUGUUGAUACUUAUCUUUUUGACUUGCUUAACAUUUUAUACUCUAUGCUUUUGAUGUUCUACCUAUUGAUACUUGUAGUUUUUAUUUGUGAACCCUAGGAUGAUAAAUUAACAGAUCGACUUGAUACAAAGAUGUUAACUUGAUUGACCAUUGGAUAUAAAAAUAGAAUAAUUAUGAUAAAUGAAUAAAAUCAAAUCCUUAAAGUGAAAUAAUAAAGAUGGUAAAUAAAGAAUUAAAAAGUGAAGACUAUGAGCUUAGCUUUGUACCAGAGCUUUAUAUUGGAGUACUGGACCACCCACAUAUUAUUAUGGUAGUGCGGUGGUCGUGAUCCAAAGUACCUGACUAUACACCCGAGGCGUAAUGACGUGAUGUAGCUAGAGCGUCAAUUUGGGUUGGGCUCGUCGGGUUGGCCCGUCUCGCCAAAUAAUUUAAGCGAGUUGGGUUGGAAUUUUAUCAACCCAAGCCCAUUGCAAACCGACCCACCUAGGCCCGCGACCCGUGCAGGUCGGCCCGCGACGGGCUUGGGUUGGCCCGCGGGUUGAGAACUUGUGGAACUAUCAAAUUUUGUGUGUUUGGAAUGAGAACCUUUGUUGAUAUCCAAUCCUUGAAGCCUUCAAAGGGGAUCUUGCUGUAGUUCGUUGGGAUGGUCUUUGAGUUGUUGAAGCAUUUGUUGGUUUGCAACAUCAGGCUGUGGUUGGUCGAACAAAGGUGAUCUUAAUUGGAUAGCUUGGAGAUGGACCAACUAUUGUUGGGAAAGCAUGAAGAAUGAUCAGUUAAAAGGUACAUUAUGUAGUUCAAUGUUGUAUGCUUCGUCGAGUUUCAAAAUUUCACCUGUUAUAGCCUUCAGUCUUUGAAUAUCUUGCUUUAACGUCUCAUUCAGUGCUAGAAGGACAUGAACGAAACAUUCAAAUGUGUUGUAUGUAUAAAUUAUAAAAAAAACUUGAAGUUUCAUCUUUGUAAAAAUCUCAUAUCAUAUCCACUUCAACUUGUAAAAAUAAAAACAUCCAUGUUCUUUGAGAAACGAUAACUCUGAUCACAAGGUUGAGGGUCUCGAAUUUCGAUUCAU
Zingiber officinale is the source of this 3307-nucleotide long non-coding RNA. RefSeq lists it as uncharacterized. The record is from RefSeq and is a predicted model, not a curated record. NCBI's taxonomy places the organism in Eukaryota, Viridiplantae, Streptophyta, Magnoliopsida, Zingiberales, Zingiberaceae. The transcript is spliced from 3 exons.